Long non-coding RNA from Poecilia latipinna (sailfin molly), 2340 nucleotides. RefSeq lists it as uncharacterized. Lineage: Eukaryota; Metazoa; Chordata; Actinopteri; Cyprinodontiformes; Poeciliidae. The transcript has 4 exons. The record is from RefSeq and is a predicted model, not a curated record.
UUGUUUGUUUGUUUGUUUUUUAAGUGAUCCCGAACCAGAAAGGAGGAGUCCUACACCUGUGCAGGAAGAAGCUGCUAUUGCGCCAGAGGAAAGUUUAACUCAGGAGACAGAGUUUGACCCUUCAGCCGUCAUCUUGCCUCCUCCUGACAUGUACGCAGACUCAGACUCUAUGCUGGAUUCGUCGCUGUACAGCGAGCCAAUCAGAAAUCUCCCACGUUGACCAGGAUCUUCCUACCGUGGCAAGCUGCAGCCAUGUGAUCCUUUGCCAAAAAUCUGCAUCUUCCUGACUUCAAUAUUUAUCUGAGAACUGCAAACAUGGAUCAAUACACUGAGGAGUGAAGGAACGUCUAAGCAAAUGGAUAUGUUUCUGCUGUUCCUUGACGACGUCUGUGUGAGGAUUCUUUACGAUGGACCUAGAUGAAGUCUCCUUUUCUCGAGAGAGGACAUAAAAGCAACAUUAAAAAACUUUACAGACCGACACAGACUGGACAAUACCAGAAAAGUACAACUAGUGGUGAAGUAAAGGAUUAAUUAAACUGCAGUUUUUCUACUUUCCUAUGCAAACUAAGGGAAGUCCUGCAAUCAACUUUUCUUCAGAUUAACCGUCAAUCCAAAGUUGGAUCGCAGCUCAGAUAACCCGACAAGAGCCUGAAUCUUUGUCCUCGUCUGCAUGAAGCGUCAAGAAGAGUAGGAUCAUUCUUAUCUAUUGAAGUCUCAGGGUUUGCUGCAAGGGACUGAAUAUUUGAAAUGAGCUAAGUCAUAAAUAACCACCUUCUGUUUUCUCCAACUGCACCAACACAAUUUAAUAGUUUCCACAGAAUUAUCCGGAACUGGUCAGUUUAAUUUCCAAGUGUUUGCGUCACUGUUUUUUUUUUUUUUGUUAACUUUACAGGGAUCUUUUUCUACUUUUUGUUAAAAUUUCAGAUCACCACUUUAGCUUGUUUAAGAGUAUGUAUCUAUUGUUGCUGUGAUAUUUAAAUGAUCUCUGAUGCAGAAAAGGAUAGUUUUUUGAAGAGAGAUUCAAUGAAGUUAUCAGUAACAUUUCCCUUACCCGUAGUAGGAAGAUGAACGUAGCGCUGGAAGGUUGCCUGUUUUAGAUUGCAAACAUUUGCUAAAUCUGGGCUAUUAGCUUCCACAUUUCCAUGGACUUAUUCACUACUCACUGCAAAAUGACAUCUUUCCAACAAAAGUGAAGGAGAAAUUGCUGAUAACUUCACUGCCAGGUUUACUGUCUUACAUUAUAUGAGAUCUAAGGACUGUGAUGUUUAAAUGUGUAACUUCAGAACGGCGUUGGCGUUUCCACAGGUCUAACUUUUGGACAAAAACAUCAACAUCCAGCUUUCUUGUCUAUAAUUUAACGGUUCUGCAGGUGUCCGUGCCUCUGAUGCGUCCUCAUAAACCAAAAUAAAAACUUAAAUGUGUGUGUAAAAGCUCGGCAGUGGAAAGACACUCGAUAACGACGUCGCUGUUUUUGCAUGUUUAUUUUUAUUUUAAUAAAUACUCCUUAAAGUGCAAGUCAUAACAGUAAUAUCAUGCAGUGCAUAACAAGGUCCAAACCCCAAUCUUAGACACAAAGAUGGAGAAAGACAAGCACACACACACACACGCACACACACACAGACAGAGGAAAACACCUUUGUACAAGAUAACAGUAAGUAAUGUGCACACACACACACACACACACACUAACAACAUAGACGGGGUUGUUUAAGGUCACCGUUUAACUACAGCUAAACAGAGAGGACAGCUUUGCAGUGGAAAACUCUCCCUUUGGUAAAAAUCUGUAUUUCAUGAGGCCUGCUGGCUCGUUGCUGAGGAUUCAUGAGUAACACGCCACUGCAGCUGUUAAGGUAGAGAGCUACACCUGUUGGUAAAUACUGGUUAUACGAGAACAGUUUGUGUACACCCGACCCAUCUCUUCUGUAGAACCCUCAUAGAUUUCGUGCACCAUCUUUUCUUCGGGCAGCAGUACGGCAGGCCAAUGCAUAUUUAUAGACAUAAUGUGUGUUGUGAGGAGAGUCUGGGUGAUACAGCCGCAUGUAUGUUGCAGGUAUGCAAGUAAUAAAGGGUUUCAGCAGAGGAUUAAAAAGUACAGCUUGCACUGUUUUCAAAGAAAAUUGCUUCAGAAAGUCUUCAUUCCCUUUAAAACUCAAAGCGGACGGACUUUAGAGCCAGUCCUGAGGUCCAGACUCAAACCCUUCAACGUCACGUAGACGAGUGUUGGGUGGUAACAUGUCAGUUGUUCCAGCAGUGGUAGAUUUAGCGACAGGGGAUGUGGCUCUCCACCCAGGGUGGCAGGCUAACGGUGUGGUGUGUGUUUUUCCCCACAAAAAAUGGGGG